ACCCGCACAAGCGGUGGAUGAUGUGGUUUAAUUCGAUGCAACGCGAAAAACCUUACCCACCUUUGACAUGUACGGAACUUACCAGAGAUGGUUUGGUGCUCGAAAGAGAGCCGUAACACAGGUGCUGCAUGGCUGUCGUCAGCUCGUGUCGUGAGAUGUUGGGUUAAGUCCCGCAACGAGCGCAACCCUUGUCAUUAGUUGCUACGAAAGGGCACUCUAAUGAGACUGCCGGUGACAAACCGGAGGAAGGUGGGGAUGACGUCAAGUCCUCAUGGCCCUUAUAGGUGGGGCUACACACGUCAUACAAUGGCUGGUACAAAGGGUUGCCAACCCGCGAGGGGGAGCCAAUCCCAUAAAGCCAGUCGUAGUCCGGAUCGCAGUCUGCAACUCGACUGCGUGAAGUCGGAAUCGCUAGUAAUCGUGGAUCAGCAUGUCACGGUGAAUACGUUCCCGGGUCUU
RNAcentral lists this ribosomal RNA (459 nucleotides) under uncultured Comamonadaceae bacterium. RNAcentral describes it as "bacterial SSU rRNA". It matches the Rfam family "Bacterial small subunit ribosomal RNA", at positions 919 to 1382 of the family's 1533-position model. Lineage: Bacteria; Pseudomonadati; Pseudomonadota; Betaproteobacteria; Burkholderiales; Comamonadaceae. The record is from RNAcentral.